UCAAAUUUCAAUGCAACAUUAAUUAUUAUCUUAUCAAUAAUACCCUUGCAUAUUUAUUGUAGAGAGAGAAAAAAAUAAAAUGAAAUAAUAAAUGAUUAAGGGUAUUAUAGAAAACACACACAUAUUUUCAUCAAAAAUAACAAAAUUUAUUUGGUUUCUUGGUUAGUGCAAUUUCUCCAAAAUGGACAUGUAUUUUGAAACGGAU
Molecule: long non-coding RNA, 205 nt
Filed under: Medicago truncatula (barrel medic)
Lineage: Eukaryota; Viridiplantae; Streptophyta; Magnoliopsida; Fabales; Fabaceae
Description: long non-coding RNA (MTRU_LNC004482)
Source: RNAcentral